Molecule: ribosomal RNA, 511 nt
Filed under: uncultured bacterium
Lineage: Bacteria
Description: bacterial SSU rRNA
Rfam family: Bacterial small subunit ribosomal RNA
Source: RNAcentral
UUCUGGCUCAGGAUGAACGCUAGCGACAGGCUUAACACAUGCAAGUCGAGGGGCAGCACGGGAGUAGCAAUACAACGUGGUGGCGACCGGCGCACGGGUGAGUAACGCGUAUGCAACCUACCUAUCAGAGGGGAAUAACCCGGCGAAAGUCGGACUAAUACCGCAUAAAACAGGGGCACCGCAUGGUGAUAUUUGUUAAAGAAAUUCGCUGAUAGAUGGGCAUGCGUUCCAUUAGGUAGUUGGUGAGGUAACGGCUCACCAAGCCGACGAUGGAUAGGGGAACUGAGAGGUUGGCCCCCCACACUGGUACUGAGACACGGACCAGACUCCUACGGGAGGCAGCAGUGAGGAAUAUUGGUCAAUGGGCGAGAGCCUGAACCAGCCAAGUCGCGUGAAGGAAGAAGGAUCUAUGGUUCGUAAACUUCUUUUGCAGGGGAAUAAAGUGCGGGACGUGUCCUGUUUUGUAUGUACCCUGAGAAUAAGGAUCGGCUAACUCCGUGCCAGCCGCAGC